Molecule: ribosomal RNA, 460 nt
Filed under: uncultured bacterium
Lineage: Bacteria
Description: partial 16S ribosomal RNA
Rfam family: Bacterial small subunit ribosomal RNA
Source: RNAcentral
CCUACGGGAGGCAGCAGUGAGGAAUAUUGGUCAAUGGGCGCGAGCCUGAACCAGCCAAGUCGCGUGAGGGAAGACGGUCCUAUGGAUUGUAAACCUCUUUUGUCGGGGAGCAAGGCCCGCCACGUGUGGCGGGAAGGAGAGUACCCGAAGAAAAAGCAUCCGCUAACUCCGUGCCAGCAGCAGCGGUAAUACGGAGGAUGCGAGCGUUAUCCGGAUUUAGUGGGUUUAAAGGGUGCGUAGGCGGAAGGUUAAGUCAGCGGUAAAAUGUCGGUGCUCAACACCGGCAUGCCGUUGAAACUGGUCUUCUUGAGUGAGCGAGAAGUAUGCGGAAUUCGUGGUGUAGCGGUGAAAUGCAUAGAUAUCACGCAGAACUCCGAUUGCGAAGGCAGCAUACCGGCGCUCAACUGACGCUGAGGCACGAAAGCGUGGGGAUCGAACAGGAUUAGAUACCCGAGUAGUC